This 466-nucleotide ribosomal RNA is filed under the name uncultured Arcobacter sp. RNAcentral's name for it is "bacterial SSU rRNA". It matches the Rfam family "Bacterial small subunit ribosomal RNA", at positions 111 to 597 of the family's 1533-position model. The record is from RNAcentral. Lineage: Bacteria; Pseudomonadati; Campylobacterota; Epsilonproteobacteria; Campylobacterales; Arcobacteraceae.
UAAUAUAUAGUUAAUCUGCCCCAAAGAAGAGAAUAAUUGUUGGAAACGACUUGUAACGCUCUAUAUGCCUUUAUUACAUAAGUAAGCAAGGGAAACAUUUAUGGCUUUGGGAUGAGACUGUACGGUAUCAGCUAGUUGGUGAGGUAAUGGCUCACCAAGGCUAUGACAUCUAACUGGUUUGAGAGGAUGAUCAGUCACACUGGAACUGAGACACGGUCCAGACUCCUACGGGAGGCAGCAGUGGGGAAUAUUGCACAAUGGAGGAAACUCUGAUGCAGCAACGCCGCGUGGAGGAUGACACAUUUCGGUGCGUAAACUCCUUUUAUAUGAGAAGAUAAUGACGGUAUCAUAUGAAUAAGCACCGGCUAACUCCGUGCCAGCAGCCGCGGUAAUACGGGGGGUGCAAGCGUUACUCGGAAUCACUGGGCGUAAAGAGCAUGUAGGCUGGUUUGUAAGUUGGAAGUGA